RNAcentral lists this ribosomal RNA (253 nucleotides) under uncultured bacterium. RNAcentral's name for it is "partial 16S ribosomal RNA". It matches the Rfam family "Bacterial small subunit ribosomal RNA", at positions 524 to 776 of the family's 1533-position model. The record is from RNAcentral.
UACGUAGGUGGCAAGCGUUGUCCGGAAUCACUGGGCGUAAAGCGCGCGCCGGCGGCGAUCUACGUCUGGGGUGAAAGCCCGGAGCUCAACUCCGGGACUGCCUUGGAUACGGGAUCGCUUGAGGAUUGGAGAGGCAAGGGGAAUUCCACGUGUAGCGGUGAAAUGCGUAGAGAUGUGGAGGAACACCUGUGGCGAAGGCGCCUUGCUGGCCAAUUACUGACGCUGAGGCGCGAAAGCGUGGGGAGCAAACAGG